AACCGACAUCAGGGAUUCGUUCUGGGAACCCUGGCCGACAGCCAGGUAGGAAUUCAUCCCCAGUUCUUUCAUUUGUUGCUCGCCAAUCACCCGGGUGACCACAUUUUUGCUGUAAGCAUCUGCCAGCUGGCGCGCCUGCGACGCCAGGUAAGCGGCGUUACAGAUAUUCGGCGGCAUGUUGCCGAGGUCUUUGGC
Molecule: antisense RNA, 195 nt
Filed under: Mangrovibacter sp. MFB070
Lineage: Bacteria; Pseudomonadati; Pseudomonadota; Gammaproteobacteria; Enterobacterales; Enterobacteriaceae
Description: Yersinia sRNA 276
Rfam family: Yersinia sRNA 276
Source: Rfam by way of RNAcentral